CCUACGGGUGGCAGCAGUGGGGAAUAUUGGGCAAUGGGCGCAAGCCUGACCCAGCAACGCCGCGUGAAGGAAGAAGGCUCUCUGGUUGUUAACUUCUUUUCUCAGGGACGAAGAAAGUGACGGUACCUGAGGAAUAAGCCACGGCUAACUACGUGCAAGCACCCGCGGUAUUACGGCGGUGGCAAGCGUUAUCAGGAUUUACUGGGUGUAAAGGGCGUGUAGGCGGGACUGCAAGUCAGAUGUGAAUACCACGGGCUCAACCUGUGGCCUGCAGUUGAAACUGUAGUUCUUGAGUAAUGGGGAGGCAGGCGGAAUGCCUAGUGUAGCGGUGAAAUGCGUAGAUAUUAGGAGGAACUCCAGUUGCGAAGGCGGUCUGCUGGACAGCAACUGACGCUGAGGCGCGAAAGCGUGGGGAGCAAACAGGAUUAGAUACCCUAGUAGUC
RNAcentral lists this ribosomal RNA (443 nucleotides) under uncultured bacterium. RNAcentral describes it as "partial 16S ribosomal RNA". It matches the Rfam family "Bacterial small subunit ribosomal RNA", at positions 338 to 795 of the family's 1533-position model. The record is from RNAcentral.